CCUACGGGUGGCAGCAGUGGGGGAUAUUGCACAAUGGGGGGAACCCUGAUGCAGCGACGCCGCGUGUGGGAAGACGGUCCUCUGGAUUGUAAACCACUUUCCCCAGGGACGAAAAUGACGGUACCAGGUGAGGAAGCUCCGGCUAACUACGUGCCAGCAGCCGCGGUAAUACGUAGGGAGCGAGCGUUGUCCGGAAUUACUGGGUGUAAAGGGAGCGUAGGGGGGGAUGUAAGUUGGGUGUAAAAACUACCGGCUCAACUGGUAGUCGCACUCAAAACUGCAGCUCUUGAGUGGAGGAGAGGCAGGCGGAAUUCCUGGUGUAGCGGUGAAAUGCGUAGAUAUUAGGAGGAACACCAGUGGCGAAGGCGGCCUGCUGGGCUUUUACUGACGCUGAGGCUCGAAAGUGUGGGGAGCAAACAGGAUUAGAUACCCGAGUAGUC
RNAcentral lists this ribosomal RNA (440 nucleotides) under uncultured bacterium. Its description in RNAcentral is "partial 16S ribosomal RNA". It matches the Rfam family "Bacterial small subunit ribosomal RNA", at positions 338 to 795 of the family's 1533-position model. The record is from RNAcentral.